GACGAACGCUGGCGGCGUGCCUAAUACAUGCAAGUAGAACGCUAAAGAGAGGAGCUUACUCUUCUUGGAUGAGUUGCGAACGGGUGAGUAACGCGUAGGUAACCUGCCUUGUAGCGGGGGAUAACUAUUGGAAACGAUAGCUAAUACCGCAUAACAAUGGAUGACACAUGUCAUUUAUUUGAAAGGGGCAAUUGCUCCACUACAAGAUGGACCUGCGUUGUAUUAGCUAGUAGGUGAGGUAAUGGCUCACCUAGGCGACGAUACAUAGCCGACCUGAGAGGGUGAUCGGCCACACUGGGACUGAGACACGGCCCAGACUCCUACGGGAGGCAGCAGUAGGGAAUCUUCGGCAAUGGGGGCAACCCUGACCGAGCAACGCCGCGUGAGUGAAGAAGGUUUUCGGAUCGUAAAGCUCUGUUGUAAGUCAAGAACGGGUGUGAGAGUGGAAAGUUCACACUGUGACGGUAGCUUACCAGAAAGGGACGGCUAACUACGUG
This 497-nucleotide ribosomal RNA is filed under the name uncultured bacterium. RNAcentral describes it as "partial 16S ribosomal RNA". It matches the Rfam family "Bacterial small subunit ribosomal RNA", at positions 28 to 507 of the family's 1533-position model. The record is from RNAcentral.